This 86-nucleotide small nucleolar RNA is filed under the name Brugia malayi. RNAcentral's name for it is "snoRNA Bm15601". Lineage: Eukaryota; Metazoa; Nematoda; Chromadorea; Rhabditida; Onchocercidae. The record is from RNAcentral.
AUUAAAUUUGCCAGUGAUGCAUGAAAUGAUGUAUUGAUAAAAAUAGUGAUAGUUGCAUCAUUCGUCACUACCACUGAGGCAUUCAU